RNAcentral lists this ribosomal RNA (464 nucleotides) under Vreelandella stevensii. RNAcentral's name for it is "partial 16S ribosomal RNA". It matches the Rfam family "Bacterial small subunit ribosomal RNA", at positions 338 to 795 of the family's 1533-position model. Lineage: Bacteria; Pseudomonadati; Pseudomonadota; Gammaproteobacteria; Oceanospirillales; Halomonadaceae. The record is from RNAcentral.
CCUACGGGGGGCAGCAGUGGGGAAUAUUGGACAAUGGGCGAAAGCCUGAUCCAGCCAUGCCGCGUGUGUGAAGAAGGCCUUCGGGUUGUAAAGCACUUUCAGUGGGGAAGAAAGCCUUGGGGCUAAUACCCUCGAGGAAGGACAUCACCCACAGAAGAAGCACCGGCUAACUCCGUGCCAGCAGCCGCGGUAAUACGGAGGGUGGAGCGUUAAUCGGAAUUACUGGGCGUAAAGCGCGCGUAGGCGGUCUGAUAAGCCGGUUGUGAAAGCCCCGGGCUCAACCUGGGAACGGCAUCCGGAACUGUCAGGCUAGAGUGCAGGAGAGGAAGGUAGAAUUCCCGGUGUAGCGGUGAAAUGCGUAGAGAUCGGGAGGAAUACCAGUGGCGAAGGCGGCCUUCUGGACUGACACUGACGCUGAGGUGCGAAAGCGUGGGUAGCAAACAGGAUUAGAUACCCCAGUAGUC